This 62-nucleotide transfer RNA is filed under the name Brachionus koreanus. Its description in RNAcentral is "tRNA-Cys". Lineage: Eukaryota; Metazoa; Rotifera; Eurotatoria; Ploima; Brachionidae. The record is from RNAcentral.
GGACUAAUAGUUUAAAUUAAAAUAGUUUAUUGCAAAUAAAUUGAUGAUUACUUCUUAGUCUU